This 481-nucleotide ribosomal RNA is filed under the name uncultured organism. RNAcentral's name for it is "bacterial SSU rRNA". It matches the Rfam family "Bacterial small subunit ribosomal RNA", at positions 28 to 507 of the family's 1533-position model. The record is from RNAcentral.
GAUGAACGCUAGCGGCAGGCCUAAUACAUGCAAGUCGAACGGGCGAUGGUCUUCGGGCCAUUGCUAGUGGCGCACGGGUGCGUAACGCGUACACAACAUGCCCUUUACUGGGGGAUAGCGGCGGGAAACUGCCAGUAAUACCCCAUGCCCUCGCGGGGCGGCAUUGUCCUGCGAGGAAAGUUACGGCGGUAAAGGAUUGGUGUGCGUCCGAUUAGCUAGUUGGCGGGGUAACGGCCCACCAAGGCGACGAUCGGUAGGGGGUGUGAGAGCAUGGCCCCCCACACGGGUACUGAGACACGGACCCGACUCCUACGGGAGGCAGCAGUAAGGAAUAUUGGACAAUGGUCGGAAGACUGAUCCAGCCAUGCCGCGUGAAGGAAGAAGGCGCUCAGCGUUGUAAACUUCUUUUGGACGGGAAUAAUAACCUCCACGAGUUGGGGGCUUGAAGGUACCGUCAGAAUAAGCACCGGCUAACUCCGUG